RNAcentral lists this ribosomal RNA (1686 nucleotides) under Triticum aestivum (bread wheat). Its description in RNAcentral is "partial small subunit ribosomal RNA". Lineage: Eukaryota; Viridiplantae; Streptophyta; Magnoliopsida; Poales; Poaceae. The record is from RNAcentral.
AUGGAGGCGGCGCGGGAUUCGAUGGCGGCCCUCCUCGACGCCGGCAUCUUCGACUCCGCCCAGACGCUCGGAUGCUUUCUUGUGUCUUCUGGUGGUGCAAGUAAUGAGGCCAGCAUACCCAUGAAGGCAGAAAGCUUGGUCCUGCACGGUGAUGCGUUGUAUGGGGGGAAAGAAUUUCGGAGGGCAUUGAAUGCCUACAAGCAAGCUGUGCAAUGUAGCAAAAGUAUCCCCAGACAAGCAACAAGUACUGCCAGAAUCUCAGUUUCCACUACCGGCCGGUCACCUUCUCCAAGUUCUUCAAAUGUUAUGCCAUUCAAUGAAAAUGAGGUGAAGUCUAAAAUAGCUAUUUGCCAUUCUGCUUUACAUGAGUAUCGUGAAGCACUCCAAGAGAUGGAAGGGAUUCCUUCUAAAAUGAGAAAUCUAAAAAUGAAUCUGAUGUUAGGCAAGCUUUAUCGAAUAUCCAGAAAUAAUCGUGUGGCUGCCAUAUGUUAUAAAGAGUGUUUGAGGCAAUGCCCUUAUGUAUUUGAGGCUAUUGCAGCUUUGGCUGAAAUGGGGCUUUCUUCAAAGGAGUUCUCUUUACUAUUUGCACAAGCACCAAAUAGAGGAGGCAAGUCACCAGGUGAUUUUUUGGAUGCACAACGUUGGUGGAAUCGUUAUGUAGAGGCCCAGUGUUGCAUUGCUUCACAUGAUUAUAAAGGUGGCCUGGAUAUAUACCUGGAACUAAUGCAACGAUUUCCCAAUAAUGUGCACAUCUUGCUGGAAAUUGCGAAGGUUGAAACCAUCAUAGGCAAGAAUGAAGAAGCAAUCAUGAAUUUUGAGAAGGCUCGGUUAAUUGAUCCAAACAUCAUGACAUAUAUGGAUGAGUAUGCAAUCCUCCUAAAAUUAAAAUCGGACUACACUAAGCUAAACAAACUGGUACAUGAUAUGCUGCAUAUUGAUCCUGCAAGACCAGAAACAUGUAUUGCUCUUGCAGCAUUUUGGGAAAGAAAAGAUGAAAGAAAAGCUUUGACAUAUGCUGAAAAGAGCCUUCGAGUUGAUGAUAGGCAUAUAACCGGCUAUAUUAUGAAGGGCAAUCUGCAUCUUUCAUUGAAUCGACCAGAUUUGGCAGUAACAGACUUCAGGGGAGCUCAAGAACUAAGGGCUGAUCUUCGCUCUUAUCAAGGUUUGGUGCGUGCUUAUCUAGCACUUUCCAAAUGCAAAGAUGCAUUAUUCACUGCACGUGAAGCAAUGAAGGUUAUGCAUCAGUCUGCAAAAGCUCUCAAGCUAGUUGGUGAUGUGCAUGCUAUCAGUUCCAGUGGGAGAGAGAAGGCAAGAAAGUUCUAUGAAUCUGCUAUUCGUCUCGAACCUGGAUUUCUUGGAGCAGCAUUGGCAUUGGCUGAUUUGCAUGUUGCUGAAGGACGGAAUAAGGAGGCAGUUUUGUUACUUGAAAGAUAUCUAAGACAAUGGGCCGAUGAUUCUCUACAUAUCAAGUUGGCUCAAGUAUUUGCAGCAACAAGUCUGCUUUCGGAUGCACUCUCCCACUACCAAUCUGCACUAAGGAUAAACCCACACAAUGAAGCAGCCAAGAAAGGAUUGGAGCGCUUGGAGAAGCAAAUGAAGGGAGUAGACCCGGAUGCGCCUGAAGACGAGGACGAGAACGAAGCUGACGACGUCGAUGGUGACCAGGAUGACGCCGAGUUGCUUUAG